RNAcentral lists this transfer RNA (72 nucleotides) under Balaenoptera acutorostrata scammoni. RNAcentral describes it as "tRNA-Asp (GTC) (tRNA-Asp-GTC-23-1)". It matches the Rfam family "tRNA". Rfam says of the family: Transfer RNA (tRNA) molecules are approximately 80 nucleotides in length. Their secondary structure includes four short double-helical elements and three loops (D, anti-codon, and T loops). Further hydrogen bonds mediate the characteristic L-shaped molecular structure. tRNAs have two regions of fundamental functional importance: the anti-codon, which is responsible for specific mRNA codon recognition, and the 3' end, to which the tRNAs corresponding amino acid is attached (by aminoacyl-tRNA synthetases). tRNAs cope with the degeneracy of the genetic code in two manners: having more than one tRNA (with a specific anti-codon) for a particular amino acid; and 'wobble' base-pairing, i.e. permitting non-standard base-pairing at the 3rd anti-codon position. The record is from RNAcentral. Lineage: Eukaryota; Metazoa; Chordata; Mammalia; Artiodactyla; Balaenopteridae.
UCCCUGGUGGCCUAGUGGUUAGGAUUCAGCACUGUCACUGCUGUGGCCCAGGCUCAAUCCCUGGACAGGGAA